CACCGUCGAGCCCUCUCUCUGUGUCGCCAUUGAGCCCUCGAUCUCUGUGUGUCGCCGUUGAACUCUCGAUCUCUCUGUGUUGUCGUCGAGCUAACGACCCUUCUCUGGUAAGCCAACACUGUCCACAAAUUUUGAGGAGGUUACAUGGGCAAAAUUGAAGUCUGCUAUUUGUGCUAUAUUCUUGAAGCAACCCGACUCUUGUGAUUUGGAAAAGCUUUAUCAGGCUGUCAGUGAUCUUUGCAUAUAUAAAAUGGCUGGAAAUCUUUAUCAACGAAUUGAAAUGGAAUGCGAAGCACAUAUAUCUACAGCUUUGCAAUCUUUGGUUGGACAAAGCCCUUAUUUGGUUGUUUUUUUAUCUCUAGUUGAGAGAUGUUGGCAGGAUCUUUGUGACCAAAUAUUGAUGAUUCAGGGUAUAUCCUUGUAUCUGGAUAGGACAUAUGUGAAGCAAACAGCAAAUGUACGGUCCUUAUGGGACAUGGGCUUACAACUUUUCCACUAACAUCUUUCAUUAUCUCCUGAAGUUGAACACAAAACUGUUACCGGUCUUCUAAGAAUGAUUGAAAGUGAAAGAUUAGGUGAAGCAAUGGAUAGAACGCUUCUAAACUAUCUUUUGAAGAUGUUCACAGCACUGGGAAUAUAUGCAGAAAGCUUCGAGAAGCCAUUUCUUGAAUGCACAUCUGAAUUUUAUGCUGCUCAAGGUAUGAAAUACAUGCAGCAAUCAGAUGUUCUAGAUUAUUUGAAGCAUGUGGAGGUGCUUUCUUUUCUUUAUCCCCUUCUAUUAUCUUGUUAGCUUGAAUUGUUGGUAUUUGUAUGUGCUCCUUUAAGUAGUUCUUUAACUAUUAGAUCUUGCCAUGCCAUGUAUGUAUUUUAUCGGAUAUAUAAUCUGCAAUGCAUCCAAGAUCAAUUGCAAUACUAGAAUAUGUUCCAUAGAUAAACUAAAGAAACACCAUAGCAAACCACAAGUAUAGUGUGAACUAACCAUAACAUAAAACUAACAUUAAGGCCACUGAAACUUAAAAUUCUAACAAAUAACUUGCAUCAAAUACUCAAGCAACAGUAAUAGUAUAUACUAUCAUUUGUAUAAAUUUUAGAAUAAUUAUUAUCUAAAUACCCAAGUACUAAAAUAGAUAACAUUUUCAAUCCAAAAUCCUUUAAUAUUCUACAAUGAAUGAUAUUCAAAUAUGAGAGGUAGAUUGAAUUUCAAAAAAAAAACACAAAUUACAAAACAGUCGCAGGAUGAUAAAAAUUGUGGAAGGAGCAAUGAAGAAUUUACCUUCACCACAAAGAGAUUUCUUGGUAGUGAUGAAGAAUUUUCCUCACGGGUCCCUUCACCCUGAGACACUUGUCUUUGGCAGAAACACGGGUAGAGGAGCCAAGCAAGACAACUAGAAGUGGCAAAAAUAGAAGGGGAUGUAGGCGGUAAUUGAAGCGGCCAAAGGGCAAAGAAACCAGAGGCAGAGGUGAACCUGAAUGGUGGUUCAAAAAAGGGGUAGGUUUUUUAUUAAAAAAAUAAAAACAGGAUGGAAUAAGAAGAGGGAUGAGGGCAACCUACCUAGACGACAGAGGAGAGACACAACUCCGGCGACAGAGGGAGUGGCAGCGGUAGCUCUUCCAACGAUGGCAGAGACAGAGGGAGCAACUCCGUUUGAGACAAUAAAACACGAUACAUGUGACUUAACGCAGACUUUGGAGGAGAAUGGAGGUGGGUGGUGCUGGCGGAGGACUACCGGAGGUAGUUGCAGGGGAGAGAGAAGAGAGAGGAGAAUAGGGGAGAGAGAAGGGUAUUCUCGAAAGUGAGGGGAUAAUGUCACACAUUUUAAAUUUAAGAUCAGGUUUACCGUCGGAUUUAUCCGCUGGUAAUUCCGACAGUAAUGCUUGUGCCAAUUUUUCCUUUUUUUCCUCCAAAUAUUACCAGCGAAUUUACCGUUGAAAAAUCUAAUAUGACAGUAACUUUUUUACCCGACGAAUUUAUUGCCAUAUCCGCCGAUAAACCCGCCGCUAACGUCCGACGCUAAAUCUGACAGUAUGUAAUGUUUUUCUUGUAGUGAAUACGUGUUUUACUUUCACUUCCUAGUUUUUCUUGAUCAGAGUUGUAAUUCUUCUUAACACCCUAAUGAGGAAAUUUGAUUUAGACGAGGGUUUUGGAUUAGUUCACUGACUACUUUAGAAUCAGACUCCAUUAUCAACUUUGAGAUCCCUCUUCCCCAUGCCAACUUCAUGCCAUCCAUGAUCGUUUGCACCUCAACCUCCGGAGUUGUUGUGUGGUUCAUCUUAUUCGUAAAUCCAUAAAUCCAACCAUCAAUAUCAUUUAUGAGCACUCUCACUCUAUUGGCUGGUCCAUAAUUUCCC
Molecule: non-coding RNA, 2349 nt
Organism: Arachis ipaensis
Lineage: Eukaryota; Viridiplantae; Streptophyta; Magnoliopsida; Fabales; Fabaceae
Source: RefSeq, a predicted model, not a curated record